CUUAACACUGAAGACAUAAACAGGUCUGACAUUUUGGGUCUCUGGCUACUCUUCCUUUCCCAGCUUAUCUUUAGGACUUGCUGACAUGCAAUCCUUUCUACAGUGCUCUCCUUGGGCUUAUGCACAGUCCAUCCGUACCCAUUUAGGUCUUGUCACUUGGAAUCUUCAGUUGUAAGGAGAUCAUGACCUGGAAGGAAGAACAAGUCUUUUCUUAUUGCUUUGCCUUUGUUGGACAUUUUGGUUGAGUACAAUUUUUCCUUAUCACCUUCUGAAUACUUUCUGAAAUA
This 287-nucleotide long non-coding RNA is filed under the name Pan troglodytes (chimpanzee). RNAcentral describes it as "long non-coding RNA NONPTRT010036". Lineage: Eukaryota; Metazoa; Chordata; Mammalia; Primates; Hominidae. The record is from RNAcentral.